RNAcentral lists this non-coding RNA (249 nucleotides) under Cricetulus griseus (Chinese hamster). Its description in RNAcentral is "Eukaryotic small subunit ribosomal RNA". It matches the Rfam family "Eukaryotic small subunit ribosomal RNA", at positions 1468 to 1716 of the family's 1831-position model. The record is from Rfam by way of RNAcentral. Lineage: Eukaryota; Metazoa; Chordata; Mammalia; Rodentia; Cricetidae.
UGCCCUUAGGUGUCUGAGGCUGCAUGCACACUACACUGACUGGCUCAGCAUGUGCCAACUCUAUGCCAGCAGGAGCGAGUUACCCAUUGAACCCCAUUUGUAAUGGGGAUUGGGGAUUGCAAUUAUUCCCCAUGAAUGAGGAAUUCCCAGUAAGUACGGGUCAUAAGCUUGUGUUGAUUGAGUCCCUGCCCUUUGUACACACCACCUAACACUAUUACCAAUUGGAUGGUUUAGUGAGGCCCUCAGAUC